RNAcentral lists this ribosomal RNA (399 nucleotides) under Triticum aestivum (bread wheat). RNAcentral describes it as "partial small subunit ribosomal RNA". Lineage: Eukaryota; Viridiplantae; Streptophyta; Magnoliopsida; Poales; Poaceae. The record is from RNAcentral.
AUGAUUGCUCUUAUCGGUAUGGCUCCUACCGAGGAGGAGGGAGAAGAGAAGAAGAAGAGGGAAAGGAAGGCAGCCGGAGCUGCUUUCACGUGGAUUCAAAAUAACUUUGCGACGUGCCCUCCGGAUGCAACUGAUGAUGUGAUCCAGACACAUGCUCGUGUGUAUAUGUGGUACAUUGUGUCGAGGACUUUGUUUCCUGACUCCACUGGAAAGAACGCUCCAUGGAUGUGGCUGAAGGCGUUGACCGUCUUCGAUAGCAAUUGGAGCUGGGGUUCAGUGACUCUUGCCUACUUGUACCGACAGGUAGUUGGUCUGUUUUGUGAUCAACUCAUUUAUUCAUUAGCAAUGCAAGCUUGCUGUCAAGUUAACAUUGUUUUUCUUUCAUAUGUAGCUGGAUGA